Molecule: long non-coding RNA, 585 nt
Filed under: Mus spicilegus (steppe mouse)
Lineage: Eukaryota; Metazoa; Chordata; Mammalia; Rodentia; Muridae
Description: lncRNA (ENSMSIG00000021083.1)
Source: RNAcentral
AUGCUUACUAUGGAGCAGAGAAGAGACACAGCAGAGCACAGCUUGAAGGUCGUCCGAGUAGUCAGGUCCCUGUUGGAUGCUUCUGUUACUUCCUAUGGGAUGCGAUCAGGAGGAUGGGUUCAAACCCAGAAUUUUCACUGUACACCAGGACUUCAGGAGCCAGCUGCAAGUCUGAGAAACGCAUGCCCAGCUCUUCUGUGGAGUCCUGACCUGCACUCACAUGGGUGUUCCUCACAAGCAGAUGCUAGCUCCAAACAUUACACUUGGUCUCUAUUGAAGGGCUCCCACAAGUAUCAGUCCUGGACUGGGGGAUGGAGCACAGGCUGGACAAUGCCAUUCACGAUUGAGCCACCAGGACCAGAUUGAGGGAACUAACACAGAAUCGUCUGCAUAAUGGGCAGGGCACCGCCUGAAACUGCCCAGGUCUCCCUUUGCUUCCUGAGGAUGGAGAAAUCCCUGUAUUCUUGGCUCUCAAAAACUUUCCUGAUCUGUCAAAUGGGAUUGAAGAUGCAAUUACUUAUUUAUGAACGAAAUUUAAAAAGGCACAUUAAUAAAUUAUGUGAAUCCAUUUUUUUCUAAAAAUAC